CUCCACUCUUUGAGUGUGAUUGUGAGUGAGCUUUUAGAGUACAGACGUAAGAUUUCUUCUUUUAAAGGCAUAUAUGUCCUAACCGUUCUUGCAAAUAUUAAAAAUACCGUAUUUCCUUUACUGAGCUCAGCCCCUUUGGUUUCAUUUUUGGCUAGUGGUUCUGGACUGGGGGCUUUUAGAAGAGGGGAGGUAAACGAGGCAGCAUGGCCAUGGGAGUAAAUGUUCACGUUACAGAAUCAUCGUUAGAGGAACAUUUUGAGAAAUUUUCAUACAUUUUUUAGCCUCAUAAUUAGAAGAGGGGGCUAAAUCGAGGAAAUACGGUAUGUGGCAGCUGGUUCGCUGAUCAGUACGGAGUUCACCUUUAUGGUGACAGUAUUUUUUGUAUCAAUAGACAACAUUCUUCAGUUUUUGCUAUACGAUCAUCACCCACCCUGGAGGCGAAAAUAGGAUUUAUGUACAAACGUACGUAGCACUUUAUACUGUACAUAGUUUUUCACUUUUUCUCUCUUUAACUUGUAAUACCUAAUAUAUGUCAUAUAUUUAACAUUUGGUUGACUGCAGUACUUAGGAACAACUAC
Non-coding RNA from Paramuricea clavata, 578 nucleotides. NCBI's taxonomy places the organism in Eukaryota, Metazoa, Cnidaria, Anthozoa, Malacalcyonacea, Plexauridae. The record is from the annotation of a GenBank genome assembly.